This 482-nucleotide ribosomal RNA is filed under the name uncultured bacterium. RNAcentral's name for it is "partial 16S ribosomal RNA". It matches the Rfam family "Bacterial small subunit ribosomal RNA", at positions 28 to 507 of the family's 1533-position model. The record is from RNAcentral.
GAUGAACGCUAGCGGCAGGCCUAAUACAUGCAAGUCGGACGGGAUUCAGGAGCUUGCUUCUGAUGAGAGUGGCGCACGGGUGCGUAACACGUAUGUAACCUACCUUUAUCAGGGGGAUAGCCUCUCGAAAGAGAGAUUAAGCCCGCAUAAAAUCACAGCACAGCAUUGUGUAAUGAUCAAAUAUUUAUAGGAUAAAGAUGGGCAUGCGGAACAUUAGCUAGAUGGCGGGGUAACGGCCCACCAUGGCGACGAUGUUUAGGGGAUCUGAGAGGAUGGCCCCCCACACUGGUACUGGGACACGGACCAGACUCCUACGGGAGGCAGCAGUAAGGAAUAUUGGGCAAUGGGCGGAAGCCUGAACCAGCCAUGCCGCGUGCAGGAAGACGGCCCUACGGGUUGUAAACUGCUUUUAGACGGGAAAAAACCCAGAUACGUGUAUCUGGCUGAAUGUACUGUAAGAAUAAGGAUCGGCUAACUCCGUG